GAUGAACGCUGGCUGCGUGCCUAAUACAUGCAAGUCGAGCGAACGGACGAGAAGCUUGCUUCUCUGAUGUUAGCGGCGGACGGGUGAGUAACACGUGGAUAACCUACCUAUAAGACUGGGAUAACUUCGGGAAACCGGAGCUAAUACCGGAUGAUAUUUUGAACCGCAUGGUUCAAAAGUGAAAGACGGUCUUGCUGUCACUUAUAGAUGGAUCCGCGCUGCAUUAGCUAGUUGGUAAGGUAACGGCUUACCAAGGCAACGAUGCAUAGCCGACCUGAGAGGGUGAUCGGCCACACUGGAACUGAGACACGGUCCAGACUCCUACGGGAGGCAGCAGUAGGGAAUCUUCCGCAAUGGGCGAAAGCCUGACGGAGCAACGCCGCGUGAGUGAUGAAGGUCUUCGGAUCGUAAAACUCUGUUAUUAGGGAAGAACAUAUGUGUAAGUAACUGUGCACAUCUUGACGGUACCUAAUCAGAAAGCCACGGCUAACUACGUGCCAGCAGCCGCGGUAAUACGUAGGUGGCAAGCGUUAUCCGGAAUUAUUGGGCGUAAAGCGCGCGUAGGCGGUUUUUUAAGUCUGAUGUGAAAGCCCACGGCUCAACCGUGGAGGGUCAUUGGAAACUGGAAAACUUGAGUGCAGAAGAGGAAAGUGGAAUUCCAUGUGUAGCGGUGAAAUGCGCAGAGAUAUGGAGGAACACCAGUGGCGAAGGCGACUUUCUGGUCUGUAACUGACGCUGAUGUGCGAAAGCGUGGGGAUCAAACAGGAUUAGAUACCCUGGUAGUCCACGCCGUAAACGAUGAGUGCUAAGUGUUAGGGGGUUUCCGCCCCUUAGUGCUGCAGCUAACGCAUUAAGCACUCCGCCUGGGGAGUACGACCGCAAGGUUGAAACUCAAAGGAAUUGACGGGGACCCGCACAAGCGGUGGAGCAUGUGGUUUAAUUCGAAGCAACGCGAAGAACCUUACCAAAUCUUGACAUCCUUUGACAACUCUAGAGAUAGAGCCUUCCCCUUCGGGGGACAAAGUGACAGGUGGUGCAUGGUUGUCGUCAGCUCGUGUCGUGAGAUGUUGGGUUAAGUCCCGCAACGAGCGCAACCCUUAAGCUUAGUUGCCAUCAUUAAGUUGGGCACUCUAAGUUGACUGCCGGUGACAAACCGGAGGAAGGUGGGGAUGACGUCAAAUCAUCAUGCCCCUUAUGAUUUGGGCUACACACGUGCUACAAUGGACAAUACAAAGGGCAGCGAAACCGCGAGGUCAAGCAAAUCCCAUAAAGUUGUUCUCAGUUCGGAUUGUAGUCUGCAACUCGACUACAUGAAGCUGGAAUCGCUAGUAAUCGUAGAUCAGCAUGCUACGGUGAAUACGUUCCCGGGUCU
This 1372-nucleotide ribosomal RNA is filed under the name uncultured bacterium. RNAcentral describes it as "bacterial SSU rRNA". It matches the Rfam family "Bacterial small subunit ribosomal RNA", at positions 28 to 1381 of the family's 1533-position model. The record is from RNAcentral.